Molecule: ribosomal RNA, 738 nt
Filed under: Promonobothrium minytremi
Lineage: Eukaryota; Metazoa; Platyhelminthes; Cestoda; Caryophyllidea; Caryophyllaeidae
Description: partial large subunit ribosomal RNA
Source: RNAcentral
AUCUUCUGCCCAGUUGGGGCGGGUUUGGCGAGUUGCUGUGUAAACUGGGCARAUGUUGUGAUACAUUAUUCGUCCCCCAUUAUAUCUGUGUUAAGGGGGAGCUUUAGGCUUAGUCUCUCGGUUACGAGAUCGGGGAGACUGUCUAUAUCUGGGUUUGGUCCUGUGUAAACUGGGGUUAGGGUUGCCCGUGUUUAUUGAGUGUGUUAAUAUUCUCAUAUCUGGUACUAAUGAUUAGGGCUAAUGCCCUUACUGUUAAACGUAUGCGCAGGUUUAUGGGAUAAUAAGUAACUACAUCAGACGUAUUUUAUCUCGGGCCCAGCCCGACUGUUUAUUAAAAACAUUUCCUCGCGUAGUUUGCGAGGUAUGACCUGCCCGGUGAGUUUAACGGCCGCAGUAUAUUGACUGUGCGAAGGUAGCAUAAUUAAUUGCCUCGUAAUUGGAGGCUUGUUUGAAUGGUUUAACGCGGUUGGUAGCCGAAAUUACGUCUUUUACUGAAAUUAAUAUCACGAGUACAGAAUCUGUGUGAUUUAGUUAGACGGAAAGACCCCGGGAUCUUUUGUUUUGUCUGGGGCGGAUGGGACUGUUUCAGUCCCUUUACGAUCCUUAGUUUAUAGGUUUAAGUUACCCCGGGGGUAACAGAGUAAUAGUUUAUUAGAGGUCCUAUCGAUUAAACUGUUUGCUACCUCGAUGUUGACUUGGUUCGUCUAUUGGCGUAGCAGUUUGUAGAUUGGGUCUGUU